This is a long non-coding RNA of Chinchilla lanigera (long-tailed chinchilla), 491 nucleotides long. RefSeq lists it as uncharacterized. The transcript has 3 exons. The record is from RefSeq and is a predicted model, not a curated record. Lineage: Eukaryota; Metazoa; Chordata; Mammalia; Rodentia; Chinchillidae.
UUUUUAUCCAAUCAACUGUUGAUGGACAUAUGGGCUGCUUCUCAGAGUCAGCUAUCAGAAGUUGUGCUGCCAUAAAAUAAACAUGGGAUUUUCUCCAUUUUCUGCCUCCAACCUCAGACUUUUGCCUUGAAAUUGAUUCCAAAAAAAAAAAGCAUCCAGAAAAUACAUCCAUGGAAAAUACACUCGGUGGCGACUGAGGUUUUCUAAACUGCAAGCGAUCUCUGUGCUGGGAUUCUGCAUGGCCUGCCGGAAAUAGCCUGAAUCAAUGACGACCGUACGCCCUAGACACUCCGGUCUUAACCACAUCGAGGCUCUGGGAGCGGUUUAAGCUGCUCAUCCGCCCAGAUGAGUUUUGAGGUGCUUGAAACUUCUCAGGAGAAAGCUAUUUUAUGGGCAUUGAUCCCUGCAUCAGGGAAGAGGAGCACUUGGCCGCGGAGGUCAGAACGGUUAAUAGUGUGGUCCGCUAGGAGGCGAAGGGAUAAUAAAUUAGA